GUGGUAGUAGCUCAACUGGCAGAGCAUCGGGUUGUGGUCCCGAAGGUUGUGGGUUCGAGCCCCAUCUACCACC
Molecule: transfer RNA, 73 nt
Filed under: Parcubacteria group bacterium
Lineage: Bacteria
Description: tRNA-His
Rfam family: tRNA
About the family: Transfer RNA (tRNA) molecules are approximately 80 nucleotides in length. Their secondary structure includes four short double-helical elements and three loops (D, anti-codon, and T loops). Further hydrogen bonds mediate the characteristic L-shaped molecular structure. tRNAs have two regions of fundamental functional importance: the anti-codon, which is responsible for specific mRNA codon recognition, and the 3' end, to which the tRNAs corresponding amino acid is attached (by aminoacyl-tRNA synthetases). tRNAs cope with the degeneracy of the genetic code in two manners: having more than one tRNA (with a specific anti-codon) for a particular amino acid; and 'wobble' base-pairing, i.e. permitting non-standard base-pairing at the 3rd anti-codon position.
Source: RNAcentral